AGGAAUCCGAAGUAAUUGUUGUGU
This 24-nucleotide non-coding RNA is filed under the name Arabidopsis thaliana (thale cress). Lineage: Eukaryota; Viridiplantae; Streptophyta; Magnoliopsida; Brassicales; Brassicaceae. The record is from RNAcentral.